UCUGUGUCUUCUUUCAAUCCCCCAGGUCUACACCCAAUGCUCGAUACCAUGGCAGCACGGGCGCUGUCACACCACCAAUGACAUUGCUUUUUCUCUGAGUGGAAGUGAAAACAACUCUCCCUUUCCUCUGCCAGUUACGAGUCCUCCUCCAGAGAACGAACUACAGAGGGUUCUCCAGCUCGGGUCACUCUACAGCCUGUUAGGAUGCAUUUGGAAAUCAAGACGAAAAGAAACUCAGAGGAAAGGGAUAGUCCAGCCAGGGCAUACCCCUGUCCAACACAGAAGCCUCUGGUUCGGACCCUCACCCAGGCGACUAGGUAAUCACAACGCCCUGGGAAACAUCACCCUUCCUAACAGAAUGACUGCUUGACUUUCUGACAAAGGUCCUCCACAAGGAAGGCACUCACUCCACCACAACCCUCUCAAGAUUUCAAAGAAGCUCAAGUGACACAGACCAAAAAAGACAGGCCACCAACAUCACUUUCCUUACCAAGACAUUGGUGAGGAUCCACCCCCAUUAGUCAAGGACCAUAAAAGCCACGGACUAUACAAGCAGAGAGGAACUUUCCCUGCUAAAACCUGAGAGGGGAAGAACACUGGAGGCAGAGACUAGGCCAGUCUCUGCUCAUACGUGAACACAAGGGUUCGUUGUUGUUUGCUUGCUUGCUUGUUUAACUUUUUCAAGACAGUGCUGCUCUGUGUUGCCUGGUUGUCCUAGAACUCACUCUGUACACCAAGCUGCCUCUGCCUCUUGAGUGCUGGGAUUAAAG
This is a long non-coding RNA of Apodemus sylvaticus (European woodmouse), 770 nucleotides long. RefSeq lists it as uncharacterized. Lineage: Eukaryota; Metazoa; Chordata; Mammalia; Rodentia; Muridae. The transcript is spliced from 3 exons. The record is from RefSeq and is a predicted model, not a curated record.